This 2631-nucleotide ribosomal RNA is filed under the name Vibrio parahaemolyticus VIP4-0430. Its description in RNAcentral is "bacterial LSU rRNA". It matches the Rfam family "Bacterial large subunit ribosomal RNA". Lineage: Bacteria; Pseudomonadati; Pseudomonadota; Gammaproteobacteria; Vibrionales; Vibrionaceae. The record is from RNAcentral.
AGGCGAACCGGGGGAACUGAAACAUCUAAGUACCCCGAGGAAAAGAAAUCAACCGAGAUUCCGAAAGUAGCGGCGAGCGAAAUUGGACUAGCCCUUAAGCUUUACACGCGUUAGACGAACGGUCUGGAAAGUCCGACGAUACAGGGUGAUAGUCCCGUAGUUGACGACGUGUGUUCAGUGAAAUCGAGUAGGGCGGGACACGUGAUAUCCUGUCUGAAUAUGGGGGGACCAUCCUCCAAGGCUAAAUACUACUGACUGACCGAUAGUGAACCAGUACCGUGAGGGAAAGGCGAAAAGAACCCCUGUGAGGGGAGUGAAAUAGAACCUGAAACCGUGUACGUACAAGCAGUAGGAGCAGGCUUUGUCCUGUGACUGCGUACCUUUUGUAUAAUGGGUCAGCGACUUAUAUUCAGUGGCAAGGUUAACCAUCUAGGGGAGCCGUAGGGAAACCGAGUCUUAACUGGGCGUUCAGUCUCUGGAUAUAGACCCGAAACCAGGUGAUCUAGCCAUGGGCAGGUUGAAGGUUGAGUAACAUCAACUGGAGGACCGAACCGACUAAUGUUGAAAAAUUAGCGGAUGACUUGUGGCUAGGGGUGAAAGGCCAAUCAAACCUGGAGAUAGCUGGUUCUCCCCGAAAGCUAUUUAGGUAGCGCCUCGGACGAAUACUACUGGGGGUAGAGCACUGUUAAGGCUAGGGGGUCAUCCCGACUUACCAACCCUUUGCAAACUCCGAAUACCAGUAAGUACUAUCCGGGAGACACACGGCGGGUGCUAACGUCCGUCGUGGAGAGGGAAACAACCCAGACCGCCAGCUAAGGUCCCAAAUUACUACUAAGUGGGAAACGAUGUGGGAAGGCUCAGACAGCCAGGAUGUUGGCUUAGAAGCAGCCAUCAUUUAAAGAAAGCGUAAUAGCUCACUGGUCGAGUCGGCCUGCGCGGAAGAUGUAACGGGGCUAAGUAGUAAACCGAAGCUGCGGCAAUGUGCUUUUGCACAUUGGGUAGGGGAGCGUUCUGUAAGCGGUUGAAGGUGUGUGGUAACGCAUGCUGGACGUAUCAGAAGUGCGAAUGCUGACAUGAGUAACGAUAAAGGGGGUGAAAAACCUCCUCGCCGGAAGACCAAGGGUUCCUGUCCAACGUUAAUCGGGGCAGGGUAAGUCGACCCCUAAGGCGAGGCCGAAAGGCGUAGUCGAUGGGAAACGGGUUAAUAUUCCCGUACUUCUUACAAUUGCGAUGGGGGGACGGAGAAGGCUAGGUGGGCCUGGCGACGGUUGUCCAGGUUCAAGUGCGUAGGCUUAAGAGUUAGGUAAAUCCGGCUCUUUUUAAGGCUGAGACACGACGUCGAGCACCUACGGGUGUGAAGUCAUUGAUGCCAUGCUUCCAGGAAAAGCCUCUAAGCUUCAGAUUGUAAGGAAUCGUACCCCAAACCGACACAGGUGGUCGGGUAGAGAAUACCAAGGCGCUUGAGAGAACUCGGGUGAAGGAACUAGGCAAAAUGGUACCGUAACUUCGGGAGAAGGUACGCUCUUGAUGGUGAAGUCCCUUGCGGAUGGAGCUGACGAGAGUCGCAGAUACCAGGUGGCUGCAACUGUUUAUUAAAAACACAGCACUGUGCAAAAUCGUAAGAUGACGUAUACGGUGUGACGCCUGCCCGGUGCCGGAAGGUUAAUUGAUGGGGUUAGACUUCGGUCGAAGCUCUUGAUCGAAGCCCCGGUAAACGGCGGCCGUAACUAUAACGGUCCUAAGGUAGCGAAAUUCCUUGUCGGGUAAGUUCCGACCUGCACGAAUGGCGUAAUGAUGGCCACGCUGUCUCCACCCGAGACUCAGUGAAAUUGAAAUCGCUGUGAAGAUGCAGUGUACCCGCGGCUAGACGGAAAGACCCCGUGAACCUUUACUACAGCUUGGCACUGAACAUUGACCCUACAUGUGUAGGAUAGGUGGGAGGCUUUGAAGCACGUACGCCAGUAUGUGUGGAGCCGUCCUUGAAAUACCACCCUUGUAGUGUUGAUGUUCUAACGUCGACCCCUAAUCGGGGUUGCGGACAGUGCCUGGUGGGUAGUUUGACUGGGGCGGUCUCCUCCCAAAGAGUAACGGAGGAGCACGAAGGUGGGCUAAUCACGGUUGGACAUCGUGAGGUUAGUGCAAUGGCAUAAGCCCGCUUGACUGCGAGAAUGACAAUUCGAGCAGGUGCGAAAGCAGGUCAUAGUGAUCCGGUGGUUCUGAAUGGAAGGGCCAUCGCUCAACGGAUAAAAGGUACUCCGGGGAUAACAGGCUGAUACCGCCCAAGAGUUCAUAUCGACGGCGGUGUUUGGCACCUCGAUGUCGGCUCAUCACAUCCUGGGGCUGAAGUCGGUCCCAAGGGUAUGGCUGUUCGCCAUUUAAAGUGGUACGCGAGCUGGGUUUAGAACGUCGUGAGACAGUUCGGUCCCUAUCUGCCGUGGGCGUUGGAAGAUUGAAGGGGGCUGCUCCUAGUACGAGAGGACCGGAGUGGACGAACCUCUGGUGUUCGGGUUGUGUCGCCAGACGCAUUGCCCGGUAGCUAAGUUCGGAAUCGAUAACCGCUGAAAGCAUCUAAGCGGGAAGCGAGCCCUGAGAUGAGUCUUCCCUGAUACUUUAAGUAUCCUAAAGGGUUGU